This 402-nucleotide ribosomal RNA is filed under the name uncultured prokaryote. Its description in RNAcentral is "bacterial SSU rRNA". It matches the Rfam family "Bacterial small subunit ribosomal RNA", at positions 355 to 774 of the family's 1533-position model. The record is from RNAcentral.
UAGGGAAUAUUAGAAAUGGACGAAAGUCUGAUCUAGCAACACCGCAUGUGCGAAGAAGGCAUUCGGGUUGUAAAGCACUUUUUGGAAGGAUUAGGAAGGAAUGUACUUCCAGAAUAAGUCUCGGCUAACUACGUGCCAGCAGCCGCGGUAACACGUAGGAGGCAAACGUUAUCCGGAUUUACUGGGCGUAAAGCGCGUGUAGGUGGUUCUGUAAGUAGGGCGUGAAAGCUCCUGGCUCAACUGGGAGAGGCCGUUCUAAACUGCAGAGCUAGAGGAUGGUAGAGGGAGGUGUAAUUCCGGGUGUAGCGGUGGAAUGCGCAGAUAUCCGGAGGAACACCAGUGGCGAAAGCGGCCUCCUGGACCAUUCCUGACACUCAGACGCGAAAUCUAGGGUAGCAAACG